UUAAAGUUGAAUUAUGUUAUAUAGUUGUAGAAAAUGGUCGGAGGAAAAAGACAAUGGCUGAAACCAGGUGAUUUGAGAACUAAGAAGCUAACAGAAUAUGAGAAACAAAGAAAUAAGCGAAUCAAGAAGAACUAUGAGGUAAUGAACAAUCUUGGAGUGAAGAAUAUUACAAAUUCUUUGAUGAGUGUGGUUCAGCCCAAAUGUGCAAAUGCAAAGGAAAAGGGAAUUAGGGUUGAGGUAGAUGAUGAUGAUGAGUAUAAUCCGUCAGGGAGUGAGAACGAUAGUGAUAACGAGUCAUUGGGUUCCUUUUAUUGCAAGGAACAAGAGAUGCCACCGGGGUUACGUUUACAGCCUUAUUCGAGGCCAUUAACUCCCACCCCAGAAGAAGGGAUGGAUCCCCCACGUCAAGAGAUUGGUACCCAACCCUAACCACCUCAUAAUGUGCAACCUGUGCAUGAGGUGACUGCAUCUAGUAGUGUUGCACACAAAUGAUGUCAUUUUCAAUGAGGUUCAGCCCAAUAGUGAAGAUCUGUGUGAGCUUAUCAAGGUUAGAGUGGCCAUGUGGUUGAAGUCAAAUAUAGUGGGAAGAGAUUAUUCAAUUUACCAGUUUGUUUCAAACUUAAUAGAUUAGGAGAUGUAUCAAGUGACGGGUACUGGUGUUUAAAGAAAAGAAGAUGUGCUGUUGUUGAGUGAACUUCUGGGGUGAAGUAGUGGAGGUGUUAAGCUGAGAAUGGCUACUGAUUAGACAGUGCUUGAGGUGAAGGGUGAAUUUCUGGUUUUGUCUGGUAUUUCUACUCUGUUGCUGGUUUGUCUGCUGGGUAGUUUUGCUAUCUUUGGAUGCUGCUAAUGGUAAUGGUUGCUGUAGUGCUAUUCUUAGUAUUGGGUUGAUGCUAGUUGCUGCUGAUUGUUGCUGCUGUAGAGUUGUUUUGGUGCUGUGAUGUUUUUGGUGUUGUUUUGAUAUGCUUAUUGUUGUUUGUGUCUUGGUUUUUGAAAACAAAUGAUAGAUUGGUGGGAUGCUCCUGUGCUGUUUUGUUUUGCCAGUUGUUUUUUCUUGGCUUUGGUUGGUUACUCACCAACUCUUGAUGGUGUGCUAGCAAGGGAUUGGGUAGGCAUAUUUGUGCCAACCUAGUUGGGAUUGGUAUGUCUCGUUAUAAUGCUUUUUUCUCCCAUCUUUUUUCCUUCCUUGAUGUAAUGAGAUCUUUGUUCAUCAAUAAAGGUUUUAUUUUGCCAAUCAAAAAAAAAAAAUGUUUUUUGUUAGAACAAAUAGAAUGUAAUAGAAGAAACAUGGGCUGUUAGCAAACAUUUGUGGACUUUUUUGGGUUGUUUGUCAAAAUUCAUGUCACAUUAACUUUUGCAUUAAAAAAAUUAAUACUUUUUUAAUAUUAAUUUUCUAAUAAAAAAUAAAAAAACCAUUAAAAAAAGUUUGAUUGAUUUGUAAGGGCCACGUAGAAUCAGAACUCAUCUAAAGAUCAAAAGCUAACACCUUGUGUCAUUUUCUCCUCACCUCUUUUCCUUUCAUUUGCCAUACCUCAUUUCAAAUUAUUUCUAGUGGCUCCUCGACUAUGAUAAGAAUAGGGGUGCCAUUGUUGAUUUCUACUUUAACUGAAAGAAAAUCAUACUUCUAUGUACACAUGCUUCGCUAGCCGCAUCAAUCUCUAGGAUGUUGGGUAUGUUGAAUUGAAAAUGUUUCCUUAAAAAAGAGUAUAUAUGAUAAGUCAAGUUUGGACUGAGGUUUAAAAAUAAUGAGUAGUUUUAUUAUUCCUCAUUGCUUUCUAUAUUGCAGCUUGCUCUGCCCUCUCACACUAUCAAUUCAGAGAAAAAAUUGACUUGAGUUGAUGUUUUAUCAACUAACAAUAAGGUAAAAAACUUGUCACUCUAUUAUCAGACGCUGCUUCUAUCUGGUGAGUUUGGUGGGAUAGUGAGGAGUUGGGAUCUGACAGAUUUGACCCAAUGACACGAGAUUGUACUUUUUAUUUAUUUAUAAAUAUUAACACAUUUUUUUGAUUUUUGAAACUUAAAUUUAUAGAAACAAUAGAGAUACAACAGCAAAACUAUUGUUGUAAGCCCAGAUGGAAGUCAUAUUUAUGCAACAAGCAACUUGGCACAUCUAUAUGACUAAGAGUACAUUGAUUACGAGGGGAAAGGAGAUUAGGGGAACACUAUGGUGCAGUGCAUUUUCCCAAGGCUUGUUGUAGGGAGCCUAUGAACCAUAGAAACAUGCAUGAUACGAGUUGUGCUAUGAGAUUUAUUGGACUUGGAACACGAGAGUAUUAAUUUAAAUGAUUCUGCAUUCCAACAGUCACAACAUAUUGGUGGUAGGAGUUUUGACUUUCAGAAGGUGUCACAUAUGUGGCCAAGCAUGGUUGGGCUGCCAAGUAUUACUGGGAUGAGUCCAUUCUUUGGGCAGCCAAAUAUGCUACAAGGAGGAAGUGUGCAUUAUUCGACUAGUAUGGUUGGAAAAGGGUUUGGCAUUUAUCCAUCUUAGGAUCAUCAUUAAUCUUCAUCGUGGAGAGGAGGCUUUGAGAUGGCACCUAUGCAUCCCACUGGCUUAACUGGAAUGUUGACAAAGAAUGAUUUGAUGCAAGUUAAAAAUCCAAGAUUGCACAAGGAUGGAUUAGGAAAAGAAAGUCAUGAUGGAAAGUGAUGUUGAUUGAGCAAACUUGCAAAUGAUCUACUUUGUUUCAAUGUGUUUUUGCUUGAUCUUUAUAUGACAAUGGGAAUAUUGGUUUUUUUUUUUGGAGGGACAAGCAACUUUAAGUUUAUUUAAAUCUCAAUUUGAAGUUUAAACCUUAGUUU
This is a non-coding RNA of Camellia sinensis, 2796 nucleotides long. The record is from RefSeq and is a predicted model, not a curated record. NCBI's taxonomy places the organism in Eukaryota, Viridiplantae, Streptophyta, Magnoliopsida, Ericales, Theaceae.